Molecule: ribosomal RNA, 497 nt
Filed under: uncultured bacterium
Lineage: Bacteria
Description: partial 16S ribosomal RNA
Rfam family: Bacterial small subunit ribosomal RNA
Source: RNAcentral
GAUGAACGCUGGCGGCGUGCCUAAUACAUGCAAGUCGAGCGAACAGACGAGGAGCUUGCUCCUCUGAUGUUAGCGGCGGACGGGUGAGUAACACGUGGAUAACCUACCUAUAAGACGGGGAUAACUUCGGGAAACCGGAGCUAAUACCGGAUAACAUGUUGAACCGCAUGGUUCAACAGUGAAAGACGGUCUUGCUGUCACUUAUAGAUGGAUCCGCGCCGCAUUAGCUAGUUGGUAAGGUAACGGCUUACCAAGGCAACGAUGCGUAGCCGACCUGAGAGGGUGAUCGGCCACACUGGAACUGAGACACGGUCCAGACUCCUACGGGAGGCAGCAGUAGGGAAUCUUCCGCAAUGGGCGAAAGCCUGACGGAGCAACGCCGCGUGAGUGAAGAAGGUCUUCGGAUCGUAAAACUCUGUUAUUAGGGAAGAACAAAUGUGUAAGUAACUAUGCACGUCUUGACGGUACCUAAUCAGAAAGCCACGGCUAACUACGUG